This 289-nucleotide unclassified non-coding RNA is filed under the name Hevea brasiliensis (rubber tree). The record is from RNAcentral. Lineage: Eukaryota; Viridiplantae; Streptophyta; Magnoliopsida; Malpighiales; Euphorbiaceae.
AAAUUAUUUAAACUCUGCAAGAUAUUCCUUCAUUUUCAUAUAAUGAUAUUGAAUGUGACCAUUCUUAUGACAAUAGUAGCAUUCUCUAUUUUCAAGCUCUAUUUAUGGUCUUGAGCUCGAUUUACUAUUCUCUCUCCAAUUAUUUUUAUGUGGAUUGCUUCUACCAUGACAAGAGUCAGCAACAAAAGCUUCACCUUCAUUGUUACUACCUAUCUUCUUGAACUCCUCAUCAUCCAAAAUAACUGCAGUGCGGUAACCUCCCGCACUUCAAAGUCUCCUUUCCAACUGU